GCUGCUGCAAAGCAGUACUCACUUUGCUAAGCACAGCUCCUGGACCAGAGCAUGGAGUAUACACAUGUCUGUCUGUCCACCUGUGUGUGAAGCUGAAAAGAAUCUGUAGGGGAAUGUUAGCUCAAGGCUUGAACUGGUGAUUGAGCAGCUGGUGAAGGGCUGUGGCUGCCCAGGGAGCACAGGCAAAUUGUUUGCACCUGUGCUCCCCAAGCGACUGAAAGGGGUGGAACCUGGGUGCAACCACCCUGGGCUCAUAUAAGGGCUAGCCAUGGAAGGGAGAGGGUCUCUUGAAGUUAGGCUGUUUCUUGGGGUGCAGUGCUGCUGCAUGGCCAGAGAUCCCUUUUCUGGUUGAAUCUGCAUGAAGUCUUGGACCUGCCUGGCUCUAUGAGACAUGAACCUGUACCCUCUGUGUGCAGUGCUACAGCAAUUCAGCAUGUCUUUGUGCUGGAAAAAGUCUUCUUCCUAAUCACAGUUUGCCUUGAUCUGCCCCAGAGCAAGGAAAUGUUUAAGAAGUCCGGAAUGAAUGAGCACAACAACAGAAGCAACUGGAAAGCUGUAGGCCCUAGAAGCAAGCUCGUCAGUAACCUGGUUAAUACAGGAUUCUAUAAACCACUGACUUCAAACUCUUAUGCUUGUGUAUUGCUGUUUCCUGCGAUUUUUUUCUAUUUUCUUUUGGGGAAAAAAUAUGCUGGAUCAGGUAUUGUUAAGAAGCCCAGAGCCAUCUCUUCUUCACUUCAGCAGCAGGAGCUCUGUGCCUUUGAAGCACAAGGAUUUAAGUUCCGUCCUCCCACCUCUGCAGUUUCUUUGCAGACCAAGGCAGUGUUGCAAUGUACUCCAUUAGGCCUCAUGCUAUCCUUCACGCUUCACCAGUGGCUGAUGCACUAAACGUCCUUUACCCUCCUCCGUGCUGUUCCUCAAGCAUCCUCACAGCUGAGACUGGGUCAGGGCUUUGCCACACUGUCUGGCUCCAUCCUGGCACGUUCUGAGGCAGCAGCACUGUGCAACCAAGGAGGUCUGCCUGCUGCUGAGAGACAGCAAGAAAUCAUCUAUGACCUAAUGGUGAUGCCUGUCCUUAUUUCUGAUAGUUUGCCAUUAAUUCUGAGUAAACAGCAGGUGUCUGGAGGCAUGAGGUUUGUUGGGAAACUUGUAUAUUUUGUUUAAUGCUGUGGAUUAAUCUCUGUGGUCUUAGUAACUCUUCAGACCUGUUACAUUGCAUUAUUAUUAUUGCAAUGCAUGUGUUGCAUUGUAUUUAAUGGGUAUUCACUUAACUUUUUUGAAGAGCACUUGGUUCAUUGCAAAUCUUACUGUACCAGGUGCCUUGCAAGAACAAAAUCCUCAAGCAGUGUCAGCAAACUGAACUGACUUUGUGCAAAUUUCAUGUUAUCUAGCCUUUGUGUUUGUAGAAAAUAACUAAACCACAGUUUUCAUUCAUUGGAGGGGAAAUGAGUUUUUGUUAAGCGUGUGUAAGGUUGGAGCUGGGUCACCCUGAGAAACAAAGCAAAACCAGAUGGUAAGGAGUCAGCUUGAUUUCAGGAACAGUGGGUGGGCAUGAGGAGUGCCACUGGCUUCCAUGGGAUGUGCUGCAGCAGUCACCAUGCAAAUCUCAAGGUAUGGGAAAAUGCGUGGUUUUGGUUUUUAAGCAAAAUCACAUUUCUGUGGAUUACCUGUGACAUCUGUAGGGAAGAUAUCACAGAAGAGAAAGCUUAUAAAUGACUGUAAAGCAAAUGCCAUCCUCAGACUGAUGUAAGACCACACACCUGUGCCAGC
This is a non-coding RNA of Phasianus colchicus (ring-necked pheasant), 1767 nucleotides long. The record is from RefSeq and is a predicted model, not a curated record. NCBI's taxonomy places the organism in Eukaryota, Metazoa, Chordata, Aves, Galliformes, Phasianidae.